Molecule: long non-coding RNA, 359 nt
Filed under: Salvia miltiorrhiza (redroot sage)
Lineage: Eukaryota; Viridiplantae; Streptophyta; Magnoliopsida; Lamiales; Lamiaceae
Description: long non-coding RNA (SMIL_LNC001014)
Source: RNAcentral
CCAAACCUCUUUCUUCUUCAGCCAACAACCACACAGGGUGGCGCCUCUUCUUCAAUUCGAAUCUCCAGUGGUUCAGCGGCGACAAGCUGCCACCACCACCUCCCUCUUCCUCACUAAAUCGCGCCGCUGCGAUUCCUCUCCGGUGAAGAACCGCUGACUACACUCUAUCUCCUUUAUCUCUAUCGUCCUCGCCUAACCCUCAUCCUAUGGGUUCCCUCCGUCUCCGAGCAACAACGGUGAGACCGCCACCGUCUAGAGCCCAGGCCGCAAAUCUCUCUUCUUCCCUUUGUUCGGUCGGACUCUCCUCGUCUCCGACCUCUCUUGCUCAGUUGCUCCAACUCUAAACGGCAAAAGAGUCG